RNAcentral lists this ribosomal RNA (253 nucleotides) under uncultured bacterium. Its description in RNAcentral is "partial 16S ribosomal RNA". It matches the Rfam family "Bacterial small subunit ribosomal RNA", at positions 524 to 776 of the family's 1533-position model. The record is from RNAcentral.
UACGGAGGGUGCAAGCGUUAUCCGGAUUCACUGGGCUUAAAGGGCGCGUAGGUGGGCAGGUAAGUCAGCGGUGAAAUCCCCGAGCUUAACUUGGGAACUGCCAUUGAUACUAUCUGUCUUGAAUACCUUGGAGGUGAGCGGAAUAUGUCAUGUAGCGGUGAAAUGCUUAGAUAUGACAUAGAACACCAAUUGCGAAGGCAGCUCACUACGCGGUCAUUGACACUGAGGCGCGAAAGCGUGGGGAUCAAACAGG